This 2571-nucleotide long non-coding RNA is filed under the name Equus caballus (horse). RNAcentral's name for it is "lncRNA (ENSECAG00000050005.1)". The record is from RNAcentral. Lineage: Eukaryota; Metazoa; Chordata; Mammalia; Perissodactyla; Equidae.
CAAACUAUGGUCCAAGUAUGAAGAGAUCUCCCUAGCUAAGAGACAGCUGCAGUGAAGAACAUUCUAGUGUGGGAACUGAGGCUGAGGUGAAAGAGGCUGCCCAGGAGAAGGAAGGCCCCUGGUGGCCAUGGAGGACACGGAGAAUCCAACGAAUGAAUCCAGUGGCCUCGUAUUCGCCAACGCUCCAUUGAAACCACAGCUACGCUCCAGGCUGGACACUCCCUGUGGAGCAAGGCUGGAAGCUGAACUGUGCUCAGAUGAUAUCCCGGCAGUGAAAACACCAGAGUGCUAAAUGAAAAAUCUAUGCUCUCCCCACCAACUUCUUCAACUAGUGGGCCGCACAGGCUCCAGCAAGGAUUAAUUUGAACACUGUCAUUUCUUGGCAUCCCAAGCUGAAUUUUCCAGGACACAAAGGCAUGAGGUAUUCCAUCAUCUUGAUAAUUUUUAUAGCCAGUGGGGAGGUAGAAGGGAACAAAUAAUUGGAUGCACCAAGCUAUGGAACAAAUGAAACUAUGAAACGUUCACGAUCAAGUCCUGGAUCAAAGUGACUGGCUCGUAGAUAGGCAAGAAAUUUGGCCUCCUUCAAAAUAAGAAAUGAGGAUGGAGCCUCAAGCAGUGGGUCUAAAAGUGAGUCUUUCACAGGCUUGAGGAAGAAUACAGUGUUUCCCAUUAACCACCCAACACUCAAGAAGAAAUGUCACCUAAGAAACUGACUUUGGGUUACAAACUAGGGGCAAAUACUGGAAGGAAAUAAAUCAAAAUAUGCACACUGGUUGUGCUAUAAUGAUGGGAUUACUGGGUAUUUUUUGUUCUUUAUUUUCCUAACUUCCUGUACACCAAUAACUUAUAGCAUAUAUUUUUUUAGUUUCUUAAAAGACCUUCCCUUUUUUUUUAGCAUAUCAGCCACCAAAACACCCAGUUAAAAAGCUUAGCACCCAUUCUUGACUCCUUUAUUUUCGUCUUAAAUAUCUCAGUUCAUGCAUCCUCUCUUCUCUGUCUCUUCUUUCUGGGCCUUAGUGCAGAUGCUUGGUGUCAUUUCACUCCUCUUUCUGGUCAUUGACAUCCUCCCCUAAAUGGCUUCCCCACUGCUGGUCUUACUAAUCAUCCAGUCCAUCCUCCAACGGCAGCCAGAGUGACUUUCUAAAAUAGAAACCCCUUCAUGUCACAUUCCUGCUCAAUCUCUUCAAUAGCUCUUCGUUGCUUCCAGGAGACAAUUUAAAUUCCUUUCCAUAACAUGCAGGGCUCUUCAAAACCAAACCCGCCAAGCUCUUUAACUUCAUCUCUCCCUCCCAAACAGCUCUCCCCACUGCCACUACCCCAGGUCGCUCAUUCCACCUACAGGCCUUUAUACAAGCCAUUACCUUUGCCGGAAACGCCCCACCUCCCACCUGUGCAGCUUCCCAGGCCUCUGUGAAGCUCAAGCAUGCUACACUUCCCCACCCACGGAAUCGCUGAUGGCCACCCACCUUGUCCUGAUGCUGAUCCUGUCCACGUCACAGCACUGUACACAGUUUUGGGGCUGUGCACCCCACAUUUGCCUCUCUCACUAGACUGUGGGCUCUGGAAAGCAGGGACCCUGUUUGACUCAUUUCUGGAUCCUCAGCACCUGGCUCCUAUAGUGCCCAGAACAGGGGAGAUGUUUGGUAAAUAUUUGUUAAUUUCAUAAAAGGAGGAGUCAAUCAAGGAAUUAAAAUGUGGCUUUCUGCCAUACUUAUAUUAUUUAGAACUGUAUCAUCUACUUUACCACAAUUAAAAAUUAAAAUUUUUUUAAAAACCUAGAUCAUCUAAAAUACUCAAGAAAAGCCAAAUCACAUCAAAUGCCUUUUGGUUCCUAGAUUCUAGGCUUUUUGUCUCUCCCACUUCUUACCCUCCCAGGCGCCCUCUCCCCUUCCAACAAGUGUUUGUAAGGAAAAUACAAAGAGGUACCUAGAGGAAUUUUGUCGAGUUUCAGUGUAGCUGUGCUCAGGACCACAGUGGCAAAAGAUUGUGGGUGUCAACACCGAAUUGCAGGAGGGUUCGUGUUUUGAAAAGCGGUCUCCUUAUCAAAGUGUCCCUCGCAAUUACAGAAACCCUGACUCAGUCUCCUCUUUGUGCAGUUACAGCUCAUUAACUACGACAGAGGGUAAGGUGAACUGAUAGAGAAACCUAAAGCCAAAGUGGUAGAAGUCCCUGCCCAGUGAAGAUUAGCUAGAAUGGAAGAUAAAACAUCCCUGAGAUUAUGAUGUGAGUCAGGAAAUAAGAGUUUGCUUACACACAGCUGAAGAGUCCAGAAUCUGGAUUCCGGCCCAUGCAGCCAUUAGCUAUGUGACCUUGAGCAAGUCACCCAAGCUUUGAGAGCCUCAGUUUUCUCAGUGUAAAAUGAGGAGGGAUUGGAGUAGGUGUCCCACGAGAGCCUGUGGUAUGGUUUCAGAGAACUAAAAUCUGCGCUCAGUAUAAAGGCAGGAAUCCGGGCCGUGGAGGGAGAGGGUCUGGGUUCCAUCCGGGCACUGCUGGCGAUGACUACAUGUCCUUGCAUGUCCUCGGGCAGAUUUGUUAAGUUCUUCAAGCUUCAGUUUUCCCAUCUGAAAAAUG